CCUACGGGAGGCAGCAGUGAGGAAUAUUGGUCAAUGGGCGUAAGCCUGAACCAGCCAAGUCGCGUGAGGGAUGAAGGUUCUAUGGAUCGUAAACCUCUUUUAUAAGGGCAUAAAGUGUGGGACGUGUCCUAUUUUGUAUGUACCUUAUGAAUAAGGUUCGGCUAACUCCGUGCCAGCAGCCGCGGUAAUACGGAGGGUCCGAGCGUUAUCCGGAUUUAUUGGGUUUAACGGGUGCGUAGGCGGCCUUGUAAGACAGCGGUGAAAGUCUGUGGCUCAACCAUAGAAUGGCCGAUGGAACUGGGGGGCUUGAGUGUGUUUGAGGCGGGCGGAAUGCGGGGUGUAGCAGUGAAAUGCGUAGAUAUCACGCAGAACCCCGAUUGCGAAGGCAGCCUGCCAAGCCAUGACUGACGCUGAUGCACGAAAGCGUGGGGAGCAAACAGGAUUAGAUACCCGGGUAGUC
This 460-nucleotide ribosomal RNA is filed under the name uncultured bacterium. Its description in RNAcentral is "partial 16S ribosomal RNA". It matches the Rfam family "Bacterial small subunit ribosomal RNA", at positions 338 to 795 of the family's 1533-position model. The record is from RNAcentral.